CGGACGGGUGAGUAAUGCUUGGGAAUCUGGCUUAUGGAGGGGGAUAACUACGGGAAACUGUAGCUAAUACCGCGUAAUAUCUUCGGAUUAAAGGGUGGGACUUUCGGGCCACCUGCCAUAAGAUGAGCCCAAGUGGGAUUAGGUAGUUGGUGGGGUAAAGGCCUACCAAGCCGACGAUCUCUAGCUGGUCUGAGAGGAUGACCAGCCACACUGGAACUGAGACACGGUCCAGACUCCUACGGGAGGCAGCAGUGGGGAAUAUUGCACAAUGGGGGGGACCCUGAUGCAGCCAUGCCGCGUGAAUGAAGAAGGCCUUCGGGUUGUAAAGUUCUUUCGGUGAUGAGGAAGGUGUUUGUUUUAAUAGAACAAGCAAUUGACGUUAGUCACAGAAGAAGCACCGGCUAACUCCGUGCCAGCAGCCGCGGUAAUACGGAGGGUGCGAGCGUUAAUCGGAAUGACUGGGCGUAAAGGGCACGCAGGCGGUGACUUAAGUGAGAUGUGAAAGCCCCGAGCUUAACUUGGGAAUUGCAUUUCAUACUGGGUCGCUAGAGUAUUUUAGGGAGGGGUAGAAUUCCACGUGUAGCGGUGAAAUGCGUAGAGAUGUGGAGGAAUACCGAAGGCGAAGGCAGCCCCUUGGGAAUAUACUGACGCUCAUGUGCGAAAGCGUGGGGAGCAAACAGGAUUAGAUACCCUGGUAGUCCACGCUGUAAACGCUGUCGAUUUGGGGAUUGGGCUUUGAGCUUGGUGCCCGUAGCUAACGUGAUAAAUCGACCGCCUGGGGAGUAC
Molecule: ribosomal RNA, 786 nt
Filed under: uncultured Actinobacillus sp.
Lineage: Bacteria; Pseudomonadati; Pseudomonadota; Gammaproteobacteria; Pasteurellales; Pasteurellaceae
Description: bacterial SSU rRNA
Rfam family: Bacterial small subunit ribosomal RNA
Source: RNAcentral